This 253-nucleotide ribosomal RNA is filed under the name uncultured bacterium. RNAcentral's name for it is "partial 16S ribosomal RNA". It matches the Rfam family "Bacterial small subunit ribosomal RNA", at positions 524 to 776 of the family's 1533-position model. The record is from RNAcentral.
UACGUAGGGGGCAAGCGUUGUCCGGAUUUACUGGGCGUAAAGAGCGUGUAGGCGGCCAUGUAGGUCCGUUGUGAAAACUCGAGGCUCAACCUCGAGACGCCGAUGGAAACCGUCUGGCUAGAGUCCGGAAGAGGAGAGUGGAAUUCCUGGUGUAGCGGUGAAAUGCGCAGAUAUCAGGAAGAACACCCGUGGCUAAGGCGGCUCUCUAGUACGGUACUGACGCUGAGACGCGAAAGCGUGGGGAGCGAACAGG